RNAcentral lists this non-coding RNA (23 nucleotides) under Cricetulus griseus (Chinese hamster). Lineage: Eukaryota; Metazoa; Chordata; Mammalia; Rodentia; Cricetidae. The record is from RNAcentral.
ACACAUACACUGGUGUUGGACAG